This 468-nucleotide ribosomal RNA is filed under the name uncultured bacterium. RNAcentral's name for it is "partial 16S ribosomal RNA". It matches the Rfam family "Bacterial small subunit ribosomal RNA", at positions 28 to 507 of the family's 1533-position model. The record is from RNAcentral.
GACGAACGCUGGCGGCGUGCUUAACACAUGCAAGUCGAACGGAAAGGCCCUGCUUUUGUGGGGUGCUCGAGUGGCGACCGGGUGAGUAACACGUGAGUAACCUGCCCUUGACUUUGGGAUAACUUCAGGAAACUGGGGCUAAUACCGGAUAGGAGCUCCUGCUGCAUGGUGUGGGUUGGAAAGUUUCGGCGGUUGGGGAUGGACUCGCGGCUUAUCAGCUUGUUGGUGGGGUAGUGGCUUACCAAGGCUUUGACGGGUAGCCGGCCUGAGAGGGUGACCGGCCACAUUGGGACUGAGAUACGGCCCUGACUCCUACGGGAGGCAGCAGUGGGGAAUAUUGCACAAUGGGCGGAAGCCUGAUGCAGCAACGCCGCGUGCGGGAUGACGGCCUUCGGGUUGUAAACCGCUUUCGCCUGUGACGAAGCGUGAGUGACGGUAAUGGGUAAAGAAGCACCGGCUAACUACGUG